RNAcentral lists this ribosomal RNA (890 nucleotides) under Anaerolineaceae bacterium enrichment culture clone L35B_41. RNAcentral describes it as "bacterial SSU rRNA". It matches the Rfam family "Bacterial small subunit ribosomal RNA", at positions 8 to 916 of the family's 1533-position model. The record is from RNAcentral. Lineage: Bacteria; Bacillati; Chloroflexota; Anaerolineae; Anaerolineales; Anaerolineaceae.
AGAGUUUGAUCAUGGCUCAGGAUGAACGUUGGCGGCGUGCCUAAUACAUGCAAGUCGAACGAAGACCGUAGUAAUACUGUCUUAGUGGCGAACGGGUGAGUAACGCGUGGGUGACCUGCCCCGAAGUGUGAGAUAACAGUUCGAAAGGACUGCUAAUACCGCAUAAUAUCCAAGAGAUUAGACGCUUUUGGAUUAAAGGAGUAAUUCGCUUCGGGAGGGGCCCGCGUCCCAUCAGCUAGUUGGUAAGGUAAUGGCUUACCAAGGCGAUGACGGGUAGGGGACCUGAGAGGGUGGCCCCCCACAAUGGAACUGAAACACGGUCCAUACACCUACGGGUGGCAGCAGUAGGGAAUAUUAGUAAUGGGCGAAAGCCUGAACUAGCAACGCCGCGUGUGCGAAGAAGGCCUUCGGGUUGUAAAGCACUUUUUGAGAGGAUGAGGAAGGACGGUACUCUCAGAAUAAGUCUCGGCUAACUACGUGCCAGCAGCCGCGGUAACACGUAGGAGGCAAACGUUAUCCGGAUUUACUGGGCGUAAAGCGCGUGUAGGUGGUUUGGUAAGUAGGGCGUGAAAGCUCCUGGCUCAACUGGGAGAGGACGUUCUAAACUACCAAGCUUGAGGAUGGUAGAGGGAGGUGGAAUUCCGGGUGUAGCGGUGGAAUGCGCAGAUAUCCGGAGGAACACCAGUGGCGAAGGCGGCCUCCUGGACCAUUCCUGACACUCAGACGCGAAAGCUAGGGUAGCAAACGGGAUUAGAGACCCCGGUAGUCCUAGCCCUAAACGAUGUAGACUUGGCGUCGGUGGUUUAAACGCCAUCGGUGUCGGAGCUAACGCGUUAAGUCUACCGCCUGGGGACUACGGCCGCAAGGUUAAAACUCAAAUGAAUUGACGG